RNAcentral lists this ribosomal RNA (133 nucleotides) under uncultured bacterium. RNAcentral's name for it is "partial 16S ribosomal RNA". The record is from RNAcentral.
CGUAAUUGGCCGGUGCUUCUUUUGGAGGUACCGUCAAUUUCUUCCCUCCUGAAAGGGGUUUACAACCCGAAGGCCUUCAUCCCCCACGCGGCGUUGCUGCGUCAGGCUUUCGCCCAUUGCGCAAGAUUCCCUG